UCGCUAAGCCUCGCUUCCCUCUCCCCUUCACUUAUUAAUUAAGUGGAAAAUAGUCGUCGGCAUUCUAUAAGCGACUUGACCGAGUCUACGAAGCUUUGCUUUUCUUGUAGUCGGCCCGUAAUGCCUCCCUUCAUUUGCUUGCCUCCUUUCAGCUCAGAAUGCCUAAUGCCUAUUAUUUAAGAAGCUAACCGCCAUAAGCUCACCCUUCGGGUCUCGCUUCCAGCGCAGGAGGCCAAGCAAAUAACCGACUUGACCGAGUCUACGAAUCUUGGCUUUUCUUGUAGUCGGCCUGUAAUGCCUCCCUUCAUUUGCUUGCCUCCUUUCAGCUCAGAAUGCAUAAUGCCUAUUAUUUAGUGCUAGAAGCUAACCGCCAUAAGCUC
RNAcentral lists this long non-coding RNA (380 nucleotides) under Nicotiana benthamiana. RNAcentral describes it as "long non-coding RNA (NBEN_LNC010501)". Lineage: Eukaryota; Viridiplantae; Streptophyta; Magnoliopsida; Solanales; Solanaceae. The record is from RNAcentral.